GUUGAGAAAACCGGUGCAAGCACAAUAGAUGUGUGGGAGGAAAAACCCCCGCGUAAGUCGAAGGUGUGACGCGGACCGAAAAAGAGUAGGGAAGCUGUUUAGCAAGCCGUCAAGAAAGGCUGCUAUUGUUUCAUUAUGGCCCGUACCGUAAACCGACACAGGUGGAUGGGGAGAGAAUCCUAUGGCCGGCGGAAGAAGUAUUGUUAAGGAACUCGGCAAAAUGACCCCGUAACUUCGGGAGAAGGGGUGCCUGCGAGAGCAGGCCGCAGAGAAGAGGCCCAAGCAACUGUUUAGCAAAAACACAGGUCUAUGCAAAACCGAAAGGUGAGGUAUAUGGGCUGACGCCUGCCCGGUGCUGGAAGGUUAAGGGGAGUGGUCAGGAAACGAAGCCACGAACUUAAGCCCCAGUAAACGGCGGCCGUAACUAUAACGGUCCUAAGGUAGCGAAAUUCCUUGUCGGGUAAGUUCCGACCCGCACGAAAGGCGUAAUGAUUUGGGCGCUGUCUCGACAAUACAUCCGGUGAAAUUGAAGUGCCAGUGAAGAUGCUGGCUACCUGCGCCAGGACGGAAAGACCCCAUGGAGCUUUACUCCAGCUUGAUACUGGGACCCGGUAUUGCAUGUACAGGAUAGGUGGGAGGCUAGGAAAUGUGGACGCCAGUCUGCAUGGAGCCGCUGUUGGGAUACCACCCUUGUGGUGCUGGGUUUCUAACCAGAGGCCGUGAACCGGUCUGGGGACAAUGUCAGGUGGGGAGUUUGACUGGGGCGGUCGCCUCCGAAAGGGUAUCGGAGGCGCCCAAAGGUUCCCUCAGAAUGGUUGGAAACCAUUCGAAGAGUGCAAAGGCAGAAGGGAGCUUGACUGCGACACCGACGGGUGGAGCAGGUACGAAAGUAGGGCUUAGUGAUCCGGUGGAAUUUAAGUGGGAAUGCCAUCGCUCAACGGAUAAAAGCUACCCUGGGAUAACAGGCUGAUCACUCCCAAGAGUUCACAUCGACGGAGUGGUUUGGCACCUCGAUGUCGGCUCAUCGCAUCCUGGGGCUGAAGUCGGUCCCAAGGGUUGGGCUGUUCGCCCAUUAAAGCGGUACGCGAGCUGGGUUCAGAACGUCGUGAGACAGUUCGGUCCCUAUCCGGCGUGGGCGUAGGAUAUCUGAGAGGAGCUGUCCUUAGUACGAGAGGACCGGGAUGGACUGACCUCUGGUGUACCGGUUGGCGAUCAACGCCACGGCCGGGUAGCCAUGUCGGGACGGGAUAAACGCUGAAGGCAUCUAAGCGUGAAGCCCCCCUCAAGAUGAGAUAUCCCAUUCGAAAGAAGUAAGACCCCUUGAAGACGACGAGGUUGAUAGGGCAGGGGUGGAAGUGCCGUAAGGCAUGGAGCUGACUGCUACUAAUCGGUCGAGGGCUUGACCUG
RNAcentral lists this ribosomal RNA (1407 nucleotides) under metagenome. Its description in RNAcentral is "bacterial LSU rRNA". It matches the Rfam family "Bacterial large subunit ribosomal RNA", at positions 1497 to 2925 of the family's 2925-position model. The record is from RNAcentral.